Molecule: long non-coding RNA, 852 nt
Organism: Gossypium arboreum
Lineage: Eukaryota; Viridiplantae; Streptophyta; Magnoliopsida; Malvales; Malvaceae
Exons: 2
Source: RefSeq, a predicted model, not a curated record
CAAUGCGCUCAAAUGCGCAGGGACCAAAAACGAAAUUAUUCCCAGCUUCAAAACGCAACAUUUGCGCCAAUUUCAGGGGAAAAAUUUAAAAAAACAAAGAACAUAGGGAAAGAUCAAAUUGAAUGCAAGCGCGAAAGGAGAGGGACUGAUUGCGCCAAUUCCCCAUUUUGAGCCAAAAGGGAUGGGUCCAGCACCAAACGGUGCUGUUUUAUUUUGCUGUUAAAAUCACUUUUUUUGUUUUAAACAUCAUUUUCACCUUUGCAUCUUUUAAAAAAAAAAAAAAACUAAAAACUUUCAAAGGCUCUCUCAUUUCUCUUCCCAUUUUUGUCAGACGCCGCCUCCAUCAAAGAUCCCACGUGCCAUGGUCGCCGACGGCACGAGCACGACUCCGGUAUGGCGACGUGAGGUAGUCGUGGGCGUGCCGACGUAGAGAGUAGCGCACGAGUCGGAGGGGCAACGUAUGGCGCUUGGAAACUGACUUGGCUGCAGUGGCUGAAGCAUUUAGGACUAAGGUUUUCUGCUUGGGUAGUGUUUUUUUAAUUUGGGUUUGAUUGAAUUGGGUUUGAGGGUUGAUAUUUGGGAUUGGGCCUGUGUAGUAUUUGGGCUGGACAAAAUUUGGGCCCUACAGUAGUCUUUCAUUGUAUAUAGUUUGAGUAUAAAAAGAUGGUUUAUGGAGUAGUAGGAGGGGUUUUUUUUAAAUGAACUGAGUUUGAUUAUUUGUCUCAGUUUUCUUACUGUUGUGUUGCUUUUAUAGAUAUCAUGUAAAUAGUAUCGAUGAUGAUUUUGUAUACACAAGCAGUUGGUACACAUGACUAAAGUUGAGGGUUAUGAUGUUACCGAAUUAAACAACAA